RNAcentral lists this unclassified non-coding RNA (499 nucleotides) under uncultured Glomus. RNAcentral describes it as "SSU rRNA". It matches the Rfam family "Eukaryotic small subunit ribosomal RNA", at positions 591 to 1091 of the family's 1831-position model. The record is from RNAcentral. Lineage: Eukaryota; Fungi; Glomeromycota; Glomeromycetes; Glomerales; Glomeraceae.
CCAAUAGCGUAUAUUAAAGUUGUUGCAGUUAAAAAGCUCGUAGUUGAAUUUCGGGAUCAAUAUGUCGGUCGUGCCUUCGGUACGUACUGGUAUCAUUGGUUUCUCCUUUCUGACGAACCAUGAUGUCAUUAAUUUGGUGUUAUGGGGAGUUAGGACUGUUACUUUGAAAAAAUUAGAGUGUUUAAAGCAGGCUUUAGCUUGAAUACAUUAGCAUGGAAUAAUGAAAUAGGACGUUCGAACCUAUUUUGUUGGUUUCUAGGAUCAACGUAAUGAUUAAUAGGGAUAGUUGGGGGCAUUAGUAUUCAAUUGUCAGAGGUGAAAUUCUUGGAUUUAUUGAAGACUAACUACUGCGAAAGCAUUUGCCAAGGAUGUUUUCAUUAAUCAAGAACGAAAGUUAGGGGAUCGAAGACGAUCAGAUACCGUCGUAGUCUUAACCAUAAACUAUGCCGACUAGGGAUCGGAUGAUGUUAAUUUUUUAAUGACUCAUUCGGCGCCUACG